RNAcentral lists this ribosomal RNA (1219 nucleotides) under Enterococcus faecium. RNAcentral's name for it is "bacterial SSU rRNA". It matches the Rfam family "Bacterial small subunit ribosomal RNA", at positions 51 to 1242 of the family's 1533-position model. The record is from RNAcentral. Lineage: Bacteria; Bacillati; Bacillota; Bacilli; Lactobacillales; Enterococcaceae.
AUACAUGCAAGUCGAACGCUUCUUUUUCCACCGGAGCUUGCUCCACCGGAAAAAGAGGAGUGGCGAACGGGUGAGUAACACGUGGGUAACCUGCCCAUCAGAAGGGGAUAACACUUGGAAACAGGUGCUAAUACCGUAUAACAAUCAAAACCGCAUGGUUUUGAUUUGAAAGGCGCUUUCGGGUGUCGCUGAUGGAUGGACCCGCGGUGCAUUAGCUAGUUGGUGAGGUAACGGCUCACCAAGGCCACGAUGCAUAGCCGACCUGAGAGGGUGAUCGGCCACAUUGGGACUGAGACACGGCCCAAACUCCUACGGGAGGCAGCAGUAGGGAAUCUUCGGCAAUGGACGAAAGUCUGACCGAGCAACGCCGCGUGAGUGAAGAAGGUUUUCGGAUCGUAAAACUCUGUUGUUAGAGAAGAACAAGGAUGAGAGUAACUGUUCAUCCCUUGACGGUAUCUAACCAGAAAGCCACGGCUAACUACGUGCCAGCAGCCGCGGUAAUACGUAGGUGGCAAGCGUUGUCCGGAUUUAUUGGGCGUAAAGCGAGCGCAGGCGGUUUCUUAAGUCUGAUGUGAAAGCCCCCGGCUCAACCGGGGAGGGUCAUUGGAAACUGGGAGACUUGAGUGCAGAAGAGGAGAGUGGAAUUCCAUGUGUAGCGGUGAAAUGCGUAGAUAUAUGGAGGAACACCAGUGGCGAAGGCGGCUCUCUGGUCUGUAACUGACGCUGAGGCUCGAAAGCGUGGGGAGCAAACAGGAUUAGAUACCCUGGUAGUCCACGCCGUAAACGAUGAGUGCUAAGUGUUGGAGGGUUUCCGCCCUUCAGUGCUGCAGCUAACGCAUUAAGCACUCCGCCUGGGGAGUACGACCGCAAGGUUGAAACUCAAAGGAAUUGACGGGGGCCCGCACAAGCGGUGGAGCAUGUGGUUUAAUUCGAAGCAACGCGAAGAACCUUACCAGGUCUUGACAUCCUUUGACCACUCUAGAGAUAGAGCUUCCCCUUCGGGGGCAAAGUGACAGGUGGUGCAUGGUUGUCGUCAGCUCGUGUCGUGAGAUGUUGGGUUAAGUCCCGCAACGAGCGCAACCCUUAUUGUUAGUUGCCAUCAUUCAGUUGGGCACUCUAGCAAGACUGCCGGUGACAAACCGGAGGAAGGUGGGGAUGACGUCAAAUCAUCAUGCCCCUUAUGACCUGGGCUACACACGUGCUACAAUGGGAAGUACAA